RNAcentral lists this ribosomal RNA (529 nucleotides) under Sclerophrys latifrons (high tropical forest toad). RNAcentral's name for it is "partial 16S ribosomal RNA". It matches the Rfam family "Bacterial large subunit ribosomal RNA", at positions 1834 to 2568 of the family's 2925-position model. Lineage: Eukaryota; Metazoa; Chordata; Amphibia; Anura; Bufonidae. The record is from RNAcentral.
CCCCCCCCCCCAUAAGAGGUCCAGCCUGCCCAGUGACUUGUUCAACGGCCGCGGUAUCCUAACCGUGCGAAGGUAGCGCAAUCACUUGUUCCCUAAUUGUGGACUAGUAUGAAUGGCACCACGAGGGUUAUACUGUCUCCUCUUUCUAAUCAGUGAAACUAAUCUCCCCGUGAAGAAGCGGGGAUAAUAUUAUAAGACGAGAAGACCCUAUGGAGCUUAAAACAUAUAGCACCUGCUUUUUUUCCCCGUGCUUCCGAGCCCUUUAUUUUACGAGUAGGAUGACUAUCAGUUUUUGGUUGGGGUGACCGCGGAGCAUAAAAUAACCUCCAUGCUGAAAGAAUACAGUUCUAAGCUAAGACCUACAUUUCUAGGCAUCAGCAUACUGACACUAAUUGAUCCAAUACAAUUGAACAACGAACUAAGUUACCCUAGGGAUAACAGCGCAAUCUACUUCAAGAGCUCCUAUCGACAAGUGGGUUUACGACCUCGAUGUUGGAUCAGGGUAUCCCAAUGGUGCAGCCGCUAUAAA